AUCCGUGUUGUACGGAAGCCGACGCACCUCUCCGACGUAGGCGGAGAUGCAGGGAACCACCAUGUUGUACGGCAACCAAGGUGCCGCCCCUCUGUGGGCGGGGAUGCACACUAACUGUGUCAAGGCCACACAGAAAUCUGUUGGAAAUCCCUGUGGAAACAAACGCAAAUGAAAAGCCGCAAAGAGCAAAGACAAAGGAAACUAAGAGAAUUACCAGUCGACCUACCUUUAAAGAAUGACUAAGGAUGUUCUUCAAAGGAAAUGAUAACAGCAGGCAUAGAACUUCAGAAAGAAAGAAAGAACAAUGGAAUGAGAAAAAAUAGGGCCGUACUGCCUCUUUUGAUCAAUUUGCCCUGUUCAUGGUUAUGCAUGCUGAUGGAGACUGCUUUUGAAGCAUCUUUAUUGAAGGAGCGGGAGAAGAGUAAGAAAGUUGGAGAGGACUAAGAAGACAGGAAAGAAAGAAAAGCAAAAGGAAGAUAGAGGUCAGUGAGAAAUGAGUGACAAAAU
This is a long non-coding RNA of Symphalangus syndactylus (siamang), 507 nucleotides long. RefSeq lists it as uncharacterized. Lineage: Eukaryota; Metazoa; Chordata; Mammalia; Primates; Hylobatidae. The record is from RefSeq and is a predicted model, not a curated record.